UUAUAUAACUCAAAUACGUAAACUAAAAGUUUGGAAAAUGUUAAACAUAUUAAUAAACUAGUUUAUAAAGCCAAAAUAUAAUCAAACACAUCCACUAAAUUAUCUACCAUUAACUAAAAUGUUUUAAAUUUUUUAAAAGUAAAACUCUCAUUGGUCAAUGCAUAGAUGCAAUCUAUGACCAUUGAUUAAACUUGAAUCAAUGGUUCAGAUGUUGUUUCGUUUCAAUAUCCGCCUCUCCUCCUCAUUGGUGGAAUAUCUAAAUGCAAGGAUUGUAAUCUGUGUCCAUUGAUUAAUUUUGAAUCAAUGGUCCAGAUGCUUUUUUUUAAUCUUCUGCUCUCCUCCUUUCACGUCCCGUAGUCUCCUCCUUAACACUUCUUCUUGCUUAACUCUUCCUCAUCUGCAAUUCUUCUUCUUUAUUUCCUUAGCAUCUCAUAAUCUAGUCUACAAUUUCUUCUUAUCUCUCAUCCUUCACGAGCCUUUAACCGUUCAUCUUCUUUUCCACGCCUCCCUUCCUCAUGUACGAAUCCAGAUCUCCUCCUUUGAUGUACUGCCAAAUUCGUGAACGCCUCCCAAAUCUGAAGCUCGAUCUUCUUCACCGAAUUCUCCCGCCUUUCCUCACUCACCGCCUCUGACCAAGUCCCUGAAAUCUGUAGUUUUCGCCGUCGUUCGUGACUCUUGCCGGUGAUGAAGAAGAAGCAAGGAUAGAGACAUGGGAAGGACAUCGGCCGGCGUCUUUUUUUUUAUUAAUUUUUUUUUCAUUUUUUUUUAAAUUAGGUUAAGUUGUAAACAGGUAGGUGUGAGGUGCCAACAAAAAAAGAAAUAAAAAAAAAGUUGUAAACCGGUUUAAUAUAUAGGAAUAUGUAUUUGUAAAUUUAUAAUAUUCAUAAUAUAUUCUCUUAUGUACACAUAUUCACAUAUAUAUACAAUUAAUAUAUUUUUCGGUAAGAGUGAAAUUAUUUGUUAGUUAUAUAUAUGCUAUAUAUUUAUUUUAUUUUUCAAUUUCAUAAUUUUUUUUAAAAAUAUUUUUCAAGAAAUUGCGAGGAAACUGCGUUUCUUAAAUCUAUCGCAAAUUUGCGAGAAAUCAUUUUCCAUCGCAAAUUUGCGAGGAAACAUCUUCCGUCGCAAAUUUGCGAGGAAACAUCUUUGAUUUGCGCAAUUUCCAUUGCAAAUUUGCAAGAGAUUUGCGAGAGACUCGUUUUGAACCGAAUCAAUAACACUUGAUUUGUUAUUACAACUAAUUAACAGCAAACCCUUAUAACUUAUAUAACUCAAAUACGUAAACUAAAAGUUUGGAAAAUGUUAAACAUAUUAAUAAACUAGUUUAUAAAGCCAAAAUAUAAUCAAACACAUCCACUAAAUUAUCUACCAUUAACUAAAAUGUUUUAAAUUUUUUAAAAGUAAAACUCUCAUUGGUCAAUGCAUAGAUGCAAUCUAUGACCAUUGAUUAAACUUGAAUCAAUGGUUCAGAUGUUGUUUCGUUUCAAUAUCCGCCUCUCCUCCUCAUUGGUGGAAUAUCUAAAUGCAAGGAUUGUAAUCUGUGUCCAUUGAUUAAUUUUGAAUCAAUGGUCCAGAUGCUUUUUUUUAAUCUUCUGCUCUCCUCCUUUCACGUCCCGUAGUCUCCUCCUUAACACUUCUUCUUGCUUAACUCUUCCUCAUCUGCAAUUCUUCUUCUUUAUUUCCUUAGCAUCUCAUAAUCUAGUCUACAAUUUCUUCUUAUCUCUCAUCCUUCACGAGCCUUUAACCGUUCAUCUUCUUUUCCACGCCUCCCUUCCUCAUGUACGAAUCCAGAUCUCCUCCUUUGAUGUACUGCCAAAUUCGUGAACGCCUCCCAAAUCUGAAGCUCGCUCUUCUUCACCGAAUUCUCCCGCCUUUCCUCACUCACCGCCUCUGACCAAGUCCCUGAAAUCUGUAGUUUUCGCCGUUGUUCGUGACUCUUGCCGGUGAUGAAGAAGAAGCAAGGAUAGAGACAUGGGAAGGACAUCGGCCGGCGUCUUUUUUUUUUAUUAAUUUUUUUUUUCUUUUUUUUUUAAAUUAGGUGUGAGGUGCCAACAAAAAAAGAAAUAAAAAAAAAGUUGUAAACCGGUUUAAUAUAUAGGAAUAUGUAUCUGUAAAUUUAUAAUAUUCAUAAUAUAUUCUCAUAUGUAGACAUAUUCACAUAUAUAUACAAUUAAUAUAUUUUUCGGUAAGAG
This 2189-nucleotide long non-coding RNA is filed under the name Brassica napus (rape). RNAcentral describes it as "long non-coding RNA (BNAP_LNC019043)". The record is from RNAcentral. Lineage: Eukaryota; Viridiplantae; Streptophyta; Magnoliopsida; Brassicales; Brassicaceae.